RNAcentral lists this ribosomal RNA (829 nucleotides) under Calotes emma. Its description in RNAcentral is "12S ribosomal RNA". Lineage: Eukaryota; Metazoa; Chordata; Lepidosauria; Squamata; Agamidae. The record is from RNAcentral.
AAAAUUUUGGUCCUGGAUUUACUGUUAUUUAUUCUAAGCUUAUACAUGCAAGCCUCCGCAUUCCAGUGAAAUAAAGGCAUCAGGGAGCAACCCAAAAACGCCAAGCCACGCCACCUCCACACGGACUAGCAGCAGUAACCAACAUUGGGCAAUGAGUCGCACGCUCGACCAAGCUACUGAAACCAGGGCCGGCAAACUUAUGUGCCAGCCGCCGCGGUCAUACUGAAGGCCCAAAAUAACUAAACCGGCAAAAAUGACUAAAACUUUCUUCAUAGUAAGACAAAAUCGUACACUAACACGUAAAACAAUAGCUGCGAGAAAACCAAAAAUCUUAAUAAUCAGAUGUUUGACUCAUAAAAUAUAAGAAACAAACUAGGAUUAGAUACCCUACUAUGCUUAAUAUAAACUUUGCUCGCCAAAAAAGUAUAGGCAAAAAAGCCAAAAACUUUAAGGACCUGGCGGUACUCUACAUCAAUCUAGAGGGGCCUGUCUAAUAAUCGAUAACCCACGAAAAACCUUACCCCUUCUAGCCCAAUCAGUCUAUAUACCGCCGUCGAAAGCGCAUUUUACAAAAAAUGUAGCCAGAGUUUCAACCACAAACACGUCAGGUCAAGGUGUAGCAUAUGAAGGGGAUAAGAUUGGCCACACUAAGACACCACAAUAAAACAUGAAACACAAAAUGAGAAUUUAGUAGUAAGGUGGCCCAUGAACGUCCGCCUGAACCCCUAAUACCGCCCUUGAGUACGCACACACCGCCCGUCAUCCCCCCUAAUUCAUAUGGGGGGCAAGUCGUAACAUGGUAAGUGCACCAGAAGGUGUACUUAGAAGA